This 520-nucleotide ribosomal RNA is filed under the name uncultured Glomus. RNAcentral describes it as "SSU rRNA". It matches the Rfam family "Eukaryotic small subunit ribosomal RNA", at positions 569 to 1092 of the family's 1831-position model. The record is from RNAcentral. Lineage: Eukaryota; Fungi; Glomeromycota; Glomeromycetes; Glomerales; Glomeraceae.
AGCAGCCGCGGUAAUUCCAGCUCCAAUAGCGUAUAUUAAAGUUGUUGCAGUUAAAAAGCUCGUAGUUGAAUUUCGAGACCGGUUUAUUGGUCGUGCUUUUGUACGUACUGGUAUUAUUGGUUUCUCCUUUCUGACGAAUCUUAAUGCCAUUAAUUUAGUGUUUUGGGGAAUCAGGACUGUUACUUUGAAAAAAUUAGAGUGUUUAAAGCAGGCUCACGCUUGAAUACAUUAGCAUGGAAUAACGGAAUAGGACGUUUGAUUCUAUUUUGUUGGUUUCUAGGAUCGACGUAAUGAUUAAUAGGGAUAGUUGGGGGCAUUAGUAUUCAAUUGUCAGAGGUGAAAUUCUUGGAUUUAUUGAAGACUAACUACUGCGAAAGCAUUUGCCAAGGAUGUUUUCAUUAAUCAAGAACGAAAGUUAGGGGAAUCGAAGACGAUCAGAUACCGUCGUAGUCUUAACCAUAAACUAUGCCGACUAGGGAUCGGAUGAUGUAAUUUUUAAUGACUCAUUCGGCGCCUUACG